This 253-nucleotide ribosomal RNA is filed under the name uncultured bacterium. RNAcentral's name for it is "partial 16S ribosomal RNA". It matches the Rfam family "Bacterial small subunit ribosomal RNA", at positions 524 to 776 of the family's 1533-position model. The record is from RNAcentral.
UACAGAGGGUGCAAGCGUUGUUCGGAAUUAUUGGGCGUAAAGCGCACGUAGGCGGCGCCGUAAGUCAGGGGUGAAAUCCCGGGGCUCAACCCCGGAACUGCCCUUGAAACUGCAGUGUUAGAAUCUUGGAGAGGCGAGUGGAAUUCCGAGUGUAGAGGUGAAAUUCGUAGAUAUUCGGAAGAACACCAGUGGCGAAGGCGACUCGCUGGACAAGUAUUGACGCUGAGGUGCGAAAGCGUGGGGAGCAAACAGG